This 2156-nucleotide long non-coding RNA is filed under the name Nicotiana benthamiana. Its description in RNAcentral is "long non-coding RNA (NBEN_LNC023502)". The record is from RNAcentral. Lineage: Eukaryota; Viridiplantae; Streptophyta; Magnoliopsida; Solanales; Solanaceae.
UUUUUUUCUGUUCUUUGUUCACAUGUUAACUCGAUUUGUUGUUCCUCAUUCUUUGCUAUAUGUGUUUAAGUCUGAGCUCUUUAAUUUUGUUUCACAUUACUAAGUUUUGUUGAUGUUCCUGCUUAUCAGGUUUUUUCCCUACUUUGUGCAAAACUUCUGAAACUUGUUUAAACUCUCAAAGUAUGACUUUGAAUCAAUGUGUUUGUCGUUACAUAUGUUUGCCUCUCUCAAUGAUUUCUCACUUCUGUUUAUUUGAAACCCUAAAACUUGGGGGUUUCUCUUUGGUAGAUGGCACUAUAGUUUCACUUUGGAUUCCUAGGUUUCCAGACUCACAGUGAGCCUGUAAUCAAACUCAAAUCCUACUUGCAUGUGGUUCUGAUACUUUCAUUGUUAGAAUCUUCUCUUAUUUAAACUAUAUGCUUUAUAUAUGAGGAAAAACAUCCCUUUCAAAAGAUUUUACCAAGAAUUGAUUUUGAAAUCCCUUUAAUCAUGCUAGUGAUUCAUCACUGAUUUCUUGCGAUUGAAUCCCUUUUACCCUACUGGCUAUUUAUUUUCAUCCUUUUGUGAUGUUUUUCUUAAAUACUUGGUCUUGUGCAUCUCUUCUGUGAUUUUGUACCAAAGUUUGAAUUAUUCUUUCCUUAAUUACCUGAAGUUCUUUGUGAUUCCAAUUGGAUAUGGGAUCAUUUUGACUAAUAUUCCAUCUUUCCUAAAUCACCAACUAUGUACUUGACCCUACUUGUGCACUACAUGGUUUGCUUACCUAGAAACUGAUUUCUCUCCUUAUUCCAUCUCAGUUAGUCGUUUGACCUAGACUCCCAUAAUUAAAGGAGUCUAGUUAUCUUAAUUGAUACUAAUUGAUUGGUUUUUAUGUUUGUGCACUCUUCGUCUGCCUUACUUGUUUUCAAAAACUAUAUAAGGACUUAGCCCCCAAGCCCCCACCCCCAUCCUCUUUCAACGAGUCAAUUCACACAUCAUCAGAAAGACACGAAAUUGAACUCACACACUGAAACACACUUUCUUCCAAUAAUGUCUCCUAAUCCUGCUCAGUUUGAGAUCUUUUGAAACUGUUGUUCACAACUUGGCUCUUUCAAAGCUACUUUUGCUUACUUAUUUUCUUUGAAACCAGUACUUUCUUUAUUUAAAUCUUCUGCCUCACCCCCUAUGUGUUUACAUUACAGCUUCAGACUUCUUGUUUACUUUACUGCUAAUGUUCUGUAAUUUGUGCUAAAUAUUUCCCUUCUUUGCUUCUGUUUCUGUUAUGAAUCCCCCACUCCAAUUGCCUUCUAUGUCUUGAGUUAAGCUUUUAGUAUGACAGUAUUCUAAUUACUGCCCAGGACAUGGUUUGAUCCAUAAUAGAUCCUAACUCUCAACGUAUGACUAGCAGGCUAGUCAGGGGUGUGUCAUCAUCCCGAUUGCUGGGCAUGACCACCAGCCUGCCAUGUCCCUCUUUGAUUCCCUUCCCCCUUGUGCACUUACGCUUAUUCUUAGACUCUUAAGUUCUGCCCCUCUCUUAUGAUCCUUGCUUUGGGACCUUGAGUUAUCUCUGAACUUGGACAUCUGAGGGCUGGAAUUUCCACACACACAAUGUUCUUAAUUCUGCAAUAUUUUUUUGGGGUGUAAGCACUGCCCGGAGCCCUUUGAGACUCUUGGAAACUUUGACACACCCCCAAAUAUGAGAAAGUCUUUUGGAAAUCUGAUCCUAGAAGUUAGUUUAUCUCAUAAUGUUGGACUUUGAGUCUGAAUUAGGCUGUUUGGAUGUAGUUGGAGCUUCUGAUGUAAUUUUUAUCCCCUUGUGCAAUUACACUUAUUCUUAGACUCUUAAGUUAUGCCCCUCUCUUAUGAGCCUUGCUUUGGGACCUUAAGUUCCCUCUGAACUUGCAUAUCUGAGGGCUGGCAUUUCCACACACACUAUGUUCUUAAUUCUGCAUUGUUUUUUUAUGUAAGCGAUGCCUAGAGCCCUAUGAGACUCUUGGAAAAUUGGACACACCCCCAAAUAUGAGAAGGUAUUUUGGAAAUCUGAUCCUGGAAGUUGGUUUAUCUUAUAUUGUUGGACUUUGAGUCUGAAUUAGGCUGCUUGGAUGUAGUUGGACCUUCUGAUGUAAUUUUUAAUUUUCUUUUUUUCUGAUUCAUUCGGGUCUAUAAUAAUUUGUAAUAAC